GGACGGCACAUGAUACUGCGAGACUAGAGUAAUGGAGGGGGAACCGGAAUUCUCGGUGUAGCAGUGAAAUGCGUAGAUAUCGAGAGGAACACUCGUGGCGAAGGCGGGUUCCUGGACAUUAACUGACGCUGAGGCACGAAGGCCAGGGGAGCGAAAGGGAUUAGAUACCCCUGUAGUCCUGGCAGUAAACGGUGCACGCUUGGUGUGCGGGGAAUCGACCCCCUGCGUGCCGGAGCUAACGCGUUAAGCGUGCCGCCUGGGGAGUACGGUCGCAAGAUUAAAACUCAAAGAAAUUGACGGGGACCCGCACAAGCGGUGGAGUAUGUGGCUUAAUUCGAUGCAACGCGAAGAACCUUACCUGGGCUUGACAUGUAAUGAACAACAUGUGAAAGCAUGCGACUCUUCGGAGGCGUUACACAGGUGCUGCAUGGCCGUCGUCAGCUCGUGUCGUGAGAUGUUUGGUUAAGUCCAGCAACGAGCGCAACCCCUGUUGCCAGUUACCAGCACGUAAAGGUGGGGACUCUGGCGAGACUGCCCAGAUCAACUGGGAGGAAGGUGGGGACGACGUCAGGUCAGUAUGGCCCUUAUGCCCAGGGCUGCACACGUACUACAAUGCCCAGUACAGAGGGGGCCGAAGCCGCGAGGCGGAGGAAAUCCUAAAAACUGGGCCCAGUUCGGACUGUAGGCUGCAACCCGCCUACACGAAGCCGGAAUCGCUAGUAAUGGCGCAUCAGCUACGGCGCCGUGAAUACGUUCCCGGGUCUUGUACACACCGCCCGUCACAUCAUGGAAGCCGGUCGCACCCGAAGUAUCUGAAGCCAACCGCAAGGAGGCAGGGUCCUAAGGUGAGACUGGUAACUGGGAUGAAGUCGUAACAAGGUAGCCGUAGGGGAACCUGCGGCUG
Molecule: ribosomal RNA, 904 nt
Filed under: human gut metagenome
Description: bacterial SSU rRNA
Rfam family: Bacterial small subunit ribosomal RNA
Source: RNAcentral